UAGCUAGUUGGUAGGGUAAAGGCCUACCAAGGCGACGAUCGGUAGCUGGUCUGAGAGGAUGAUCAGCCACACUGGGACUGAGGCACGGCCCAGACUCCUACGGGAGGCAGCAGUGGGGAAUAUUGGACAAUGGGGGCAACCCUGAUCCAGCAAUACCGCGUGUGUGAAGAAGGCCUGAGGGUUGUAAAGCACUUUCAGUGGGGAGGAGGAUUGCCAGGUUAAGAGCUAGGUAAUUGGACGUUACCCACAGAAGAAGCACCGGCUAACUCCGUGCCAGCAGCCGCGGUAAUACGGGGGGUGCGAGCGUUAAUCGGAAUUACUGGGCGUAAAGGGUGCGUAGGUGGUUAGAUAAGUUAGCUGUGAAAUUCCUGGGCUCAACCUGGGACGGUCAGCUAAGACUGUUUGACUCGAGUAUGGGAGAGGGUAGUGGAAUUUCCGGUGUAGCGGUGAAAUGCGUAGAGAUCGGAAGGAACACCAGUGGCGAAGGCGGCUACCUGGCCUGAUACUGACGCUGAAGCACGAAAGCGUGGGGAGCAAACAGGAUUAGAUACCCUGGUAGUCCACGCUGUAAACGAUGUCAACUAGCCGUUGGUCAUAUGAAUAUGAUUAGUGGCGC
RNAcentral lists this ribosomal RNA (616 nucleotides) under uncultured Legionella sp. Its description in RNAcentral is "bacterial SSU rRNA". It matches the Rfam family "Bacterial small subunit ribosomal RNA", at positions 242 to 849 of the family's 1533-position model. The record is from RNAcentral. Lineage: Bacteria; Pseudomonadati; Pseudomonadota; Gammaproteobacteria; Legionellales; Legionellaceae.